AGAGUUUGAUCCUGGCUCAGGACGAACGCUGGCGGCGUGCUUAACACAUGCAAGUCGAACGAUGAAGCUCUUCGGAGUGGAUUAGUGGCGAACGGGUGAGUAACACGUGGGAAAUCUGCCCUGCACUCUGGGACAAGCCUUGGAAACGAGGUCUAAUACCGGAUAUGACCUUCUCUCGCAUGGGGGUUGGUGGAAAGCUCCGGCGGUGCAGGAUGAUCCCGCGGCCUAUCAGCUUGUUGGUGGGGUAACGGCCCACCAAGGCGACGACGGGUAGCCGGCCUGAGAGGGCGACCGGCCACACUGGGACUGAGACACGGCCCAGACUCCUACGGGAGGCAGCAGUGGGGAAUAUUGCACAAUGGGCGAAAGCCUGAUGCAGCGACGCCGCGUGAGGGAUGACGGCCUUCGGGUUGUAAACCUCUUUCAGCAGGGAAGAAGCGCAAGUGACGGUACCUGCAGAAGAAGCACCGGCUAACUACGUGCCAGCAGCCGCGGUAAUACGUAGGGUGCGAGCGUUGUCCGGAUUUAUUGGGCGUAAAGAGCUCGUAGGCGGCUUGUCGCGUCGGAUGUGAAAGCCCGGGGCUUAACUCCGGGUCUGCAUUCGAUACGGGCAGGCUAGGGUGUGGUAGGGGAGAUCGGAAUUCCUGGUGUAGCGGUGAAAUGCGCAGAUAUCAGGAGGAACACCGGUGGCGAAGGCGGAUCUCUGGGCCAUUACUGACGCUGAGGAGCGAAAGCGUGGGGAGCGAACAGGAUUAGAUACCCUGGUAGUCCACGCCGUAAACGUUGGGAACUAGGUGUGGGUCACAUUCCACGUGGUCCGCGCCGCAGCUAACGCAUUAAGUUCCCCGCCUGGGGAGUACGGCCGCAAGGCUAAAACUCAAAGGAAUUGACGG
This 893-nucleotide ribosomal RNA is filed under the name uncultured bacterium. Its description in RNAcentral is "bacterial SSU rRNA". It matches the Rfam family "Bacterial small subunit ribosomal RNA", at positions 8 to 916 of the family's 1533-position model. The record is from RNAcentral.